GAUGAACGCUGGCGGCGUGCUUAACACAUGCAAGUCGAACGGACAGUCCACAGCUUGCUGUGGUACUCGAGUUGCGAACUGGUGAGUAACCCGUGGGUGCUCUGCCCUUUACUUCGGGUUAUGCUUGGGCAACUUGUUCUCUUACCGGGUAGGAUUUACCUCUUUUUGUGUGGUUGGAAAGCUUUUGCGUUUUGGGAUGAGCUCGAGGCCUAUCAGCUUGUUGGUGGGGUAAUGGCCUACCACGGCGUCGACGGGUAUCCGGCCUGAGAGGGAGUACGGCGACAGUGGGACUGAGAUACGGACCAGACUCCAACGGGAGGGAGAAGUGGGGAAGAGUGCACAAGGGGAGCAAGCCAGAGGCAGAGACGCCGCGUGGGGGAUAACGGCCAUCGGGUUGGAAACGCCAAACGUUAGGGACGAAGAGAAAGAGACGGUAACUGGAAAAGAAGGACCGGCUAACUACGUG
This 466-nucleotide ribosomal RNA is filed under the name uncultured bacterium. RNAcentral describes it as "partial 16S ribosomal RNA". It matches the Rfam family "Bacterial small subunit ribosomal RNA", at positions 28 to 507 of the family's 1533-position model. The record is from RNAcentral.